Molecule: ribosomal RNA, 177 nt
Filed under: Phoma sp. MA 4621
Lineage: Eukaryota; Fungi; Ascomycota; Dothideomycetes; Pleosporales; Didymellaceae
Description: partial 18S ribosomal RNA
Rfam family: Eukaryotic small subunit ribosomal RNA
Source: RNAcentral
UCCCUGCCCUUUGUACACACCGCCCGUCGCUACUACCGAUUGAAUGGCUCAGUGAGGCCUUCGGACUGGCUCGAAGAGGUUGGCAACGACCACUUCGAGCCGGAAAGUUCGUCAAACUCGGUCAUUUAGAGGAAGUAAAAGUCGUAACAAGGUUUCCGUAGGUGAACCUGCGGAAGG